This 502-nucleotide ribosomal RNA is filed under the name uncultured bacterium. Its description in RNAcentral is "partial 16S ribosomal RNA". It matches the Rfam family "Bacterial small subunit ribosomal RNA", at positions 28 to 507 of the family's 1533-position model. The record is from RNAcentral.
GAUUAACGCUGGCGGCGUGCCUAACACAUGCAAGUCGAGCGGCAGCGAGUUUUACACUGAAUUCUGGAAGCUUCUAGUUGAAAGAGAAGAUUUAUUCAAGAAUUUUGUGUAAAAUGUCGGCGAGCGGCGGACGGCUGAGUAACGCGUGGGAACGUACCCCAAAGUGAGGGAUAACGCAUCGAAAGGUGUGCUAAUACCGCAUAUGGUCUUCGGAUUAAAGCCUUCGGGCGCUUUGGGAACGGCCUGCGUAAGAUUAGAUAGUUGGUGGGGUAAUGGCCUACCAAGUCGACGAUCUUUAACUGGUUUGAGAGGAUGAUCAGUCAGACUGGAACUGAGACACGGUCCAGACUCCUACGGGAGGCGGCAGUGAGGAAUCUUCCACAAUGGGCGAAAGCCUGAUGGAGCAACGCCGCGUGCAGGAUGAAGGCCUUCGGGUUGUAAACUGCUUUUAUAAGUGAGGAUUAUGACAGUAACUUAUGAAUAAGGAUCGGCUAACUACGUG